UACGGAAGGGGCAAGCGUUGUUCGGAAUCAUUGGGCGUAAAGGGCGCGUAGGUGGUUCUGUAUGUCUACCGUGAAAGCAUACAGCUCAACUGUAUUUUGUCGGUAGAAACUGCAGGACUUGAGGCUGGGAGGGGCUGGUGGAAUUCCCUGUGUAGCGGUGAAAUGCGUAGAGAUCGGGAGGAACACCAGUGGCGAAGGCGGCUACCUGGACCAGCACUGACACUGAGGCACGAGAGCGUGGGGAGCGAACCGG
This 253-nucleotide ribosomal RNA is filed under the name uncultured bacterium. RNAcentral's name for it is "partial 16S ribosomal RNA". It matches the Rfam family "Bacterial small subunit ribosomal RNA", at positions 524 to 776 of the family's 1533-position model. The record is from RNAcentral.